RNAcentral lists this ribosomal RNA (2874 nucleotides) under Stenotrophomonas sp. G4. RNAcentral's name for it is "bacterial LSU rRNA". It matches the Rfam family "Bacterial large subunit ribosomal RNA". The record is from RNAcentral. Lineage: Bacteria; Pseudomonadati; Pseudomonadota; Gammaproteobacteria; Lysobacterales; Lysobacteraceae.
UCAAGCGAAUAAGCGCACACGGUGGAUGCCUUGGCGGUCAGAGGCGAUGAAGGACGUGGCAGCCUGCGAAAAGUAUCGGGGAGCUGGCAACAAGCUUUGAUCCGGUAAUGUCCGAAUGGGGAAACCCACCCGCUUGCGGGUAUCCUGCAGUGAAUACAUAGCUGCUGGAAGCGAACCUGGUGAACUGAAAUAUCUAAGUAACCAGAGGAAAAGAAAUCAACCGAGAUUCCGUAAGUAGCGACGAGCGAACGCGGACUAGCCCUUAAGCUGAUUUGGUUCUAGGAAAACGCUCUGGAAAGAGCGGCCAUAGAAGGUGAUAGCCCUGUAUCUGAAAGGGCCAUUUCAGUGAAGACGAGUAGGGCGGGGCACGUGAAACCCUGUCUGAACAUGGGGGGACCAUCCUCCAAGGCUAAAUACUACUGACCGACCGAUAGUGAACCAGUACCGUGAGGGAAAGGCGAAAAGAACCCCGGAGAGGGGAGUGAAAUAGAUCCUGAAACCGUGUGCGUACAAGCAGUAGGAGCCUCGCAAGGGGUGACUGCGUACCUUUUGUAUAAUGGGUCAGCGACUUACUGUUCGUGGCAAGCUUAACCGUAUAGGGGAGGCGAAGGGAAACCGAGUCUGAUAAGGGCGCAUAGUCGCGGGCAGUAGACCCGAAACCGGGUGAUCUAGUCAUGGCCAGGGUGAAGGUGCCGUAACAGGUACUGGAGGCCCGAACCCACGUCUGUUGCAAAAGACGGGGAUGAGCUGUGAUUAGGAGUGAAAAGCUAAUCGAACCCGGAGAUAGCUGGUUCUCCUCGAAAGCUAUUUAGGUAGCGCCUCAUAUGUAUCCUCUCGGGGUAGAGCACUGUUAUGGCUAGGGGGUCAUCGCGACUUACCAAACCAUUGCAAACUCCGAAUACCGAGACGGACUGUAUGGGAGACACACGGCGGGUGCUAACGUCCGUCGUGAAAAGGGAAACAACCCAGACCCACAGCUAAGGUCCCAAAUUUUGUGCUAAGUGGAAAACCAUGUGGAAAGGCACAGACAGCCAGGAGGUUGGCUUAGAAGCAGCCACCCUUUAAAGAAAGCGUAAUAGCUCACUGGUCGAGUCGGUCUGCGGGGAAGAUUUAACGGGCUAAGCACAGAACCGAAGCUUGGGGUGUGCAUAUUUAUAUGUACGCGGUAGAGGAGCGUUCCGUAAGCCGUUGAAGGUGGAUUGAGAAGUCUGCUGGAGGUAUCGGAAGUGCGAAUGCUGACAUGAGUAACGAUAAUGCGGGUGAAAAACCCGCACGCCGAAAGCCCAAGGUUUCCUUGCGCAACGUUAAUCGGCGCAGGGUGAGUCGGCCCCUAAGGCGAGGACGAAAGUCGUAGUCGAUGGGAAGCAGGUUAAUAUUCCUGCACCUCGCGUAAGUGCGAUGGAGGGACGGAGAAGGUUAGGCGUACCGGGCGUUGGUUGUCCCGGGAAAGGCGGUAGGUUUGGAUCUUUGGCAAAUCCGGGAUCCUUCAAGACCGAGCACCGAGACGAGCCUUUAUGGCGAAGUCGCUGAUACCACGCUUCCAGGAAAAGCUCCUAAGCUUCAGCUUACGCAGACCGUACCGUAAACCGACACAGGUGGGUAGGAUGAGAAUUCUCAGGCGCUUGAGAGAACUCGGGUGAAGGAACUAGGCAACAUGGCACCGUAACUUCGGGAGAAGGUGCACCCUUUUUGGUGGCUCGUGCGAGCUAUAGCUGAAGAGGGUCGCAGUAACCAGGCCGCUGCGACUGUUUAUCAAAAACACAGCACUCUGCAAACACGAAAGUGGACGUAUAGGGUGUGACGCCUGCCCGGUGCUGGAAGGUUAAUUGAUGGGGUCAGCCGCAAGGCGAAGCUCUUGAUCGAAGCCCCAGUAAACGGCGGCCGUAACUAUAACGGUCCUAAGGUAGCGAAAUUCCUUGUCGGGUAAGUUCCGACCUGCACGAAUGGCGUAACGACAGCGGCGCUGUCUCCACCCGAGACUCAGUGAAAUUGAAAUCGCUGUGAAGAUGCAGCGUUCCCGUGGCAAGACGGAAAGACCCCGUGAACCUUUACUAUAGCUUUACACUGAACGUUGAGUUCGUCUGUGUAGGAUAGGUGGGAGGCUAUGAAACCAUGGCGCUAGCUGUGGUGGAGCCAUCCUUGAAAUACCACCCUGUCGUGCUUGACGUUCUAACCUGGGCCCAUUAUCUGGGUCGGGGACCGUGUAUGGUGGGUAGUUUGACUGGGGCGGUCUCCUCCUAAAGAGUAACGGAGGAGCUCGAAGGUACGCUCAGCGCGGUCGGACAUCGCGCACUGUGUGCAAAGGCAUAAGCGUGCUUGACUGCAAGAUCGACGGAUCAAGCAGGUAGGAAACUAGGACUUAGUGAUCCGGUGGUUCUGUAUGGAAGGGCCAUCGCUCAACGGAUAAAAGGUACUCCGGGAUAACAGGCUGAUACCGCCCAAGAGUUCAUAUCGACGGCGGUGUUUGGCACCUCGAUGUCGGCUCAUCACAUCCUGGGGCUGUAGUCGGUCCCAAGGGUAUGGCUGUUCGCCAUUUAAAGUGGUACGCGAGCUGGGUUCAGAACGUCGUGAGACAGUUCGGUCCCUAUCUGCCAUGGGCGUUGGAGAUUUGAGAGGGGCUGCUCCUAGUACGAGAGGACCGGAGUGGACGAACCUCUGGUGUUCCGGUUGUCACGCCAGUGGCAUUGCCGGGUAGCUAUGUUCGGAAGCGAUAACCGCUGAAAGCAUCUAAGCGGGAAGCGCGCCUCAAGAUGAGAUCUCCCGGGGCACAAGCCCCUGAAGGAACCAUGUAGACUACGUGGUUGAUAGGUCAGGUGUGUAAGUACAGCAAUGUAUUGAGCUAACUGAUACUAAUGAUCCGAGAGGCUUGACCAU